UACAGAGGGUGCGAGCGUUGUCCGGAAUCACUGGGCGUAAAGGGCGCGUAGGCGGCCCGGGCAGUCGGUGGUGAAAGCUCAGGGCUCAACUCUGAGUCGGCCAUCGAUACUCCCGGGCUGGAGCACUGUAGAGGCAGAUGGAAUUCCGGGUGUAGCGGUGGAAUGCGUAGAGAUCCGGAAGAACACCGGUGGCGAAGGCGGUCUGCUGGGCAGUAGCUGACGCUGAGGCGCGACAGCGUGGGGAGCAAACAGG
RNAcentral lists this ribosomal RNA (253 nucleotides) under uncultured bacterium. Its description in RNAcentral is "partial 16S ribosomal RNA". It matches the Rfam family "Bacterial small subunit ribosomal RNA", at positions 524 to 776 of the family's 1533-position model. The record is from RNAcentral.